UAUUGAACACAUGAUCCAUUAAAUUUGAUUUCCUUCCAUCUCUCAUUCCAUUUAAAUGACCCCUGACUUGUUCAAUUGAUGGUCGUUCUGAUGGUCUUUCAGUCCAGCAAUCUCGGAUCAGGUGCAGCUGAAAUUAUUUUACAUGACUAC
Molecule: non-coding RNA, 150 nt
Organism: Caenorhabditis elegans
Lineage: Eukaryota; Metazoa; Nematoda; Chromadorea; Rhabditida; Rhabditidae
Source: Ensembl